This 424-nucleotide ribosomal RNA is filed under the name uncultured bacterium. Its description in RNAcentral is "bacterial SSU rRNA". It matches the Rfam family "Bacterial small subunit ribosomal RNA", at positions 358 to 772 of the family's 1533-position model. The record is from RNAcentral.
GGAAUUGUUCGCAAUGGGCGCAAGCCUGACGACGCAACGCCGCGUGGAGGAUGAAGAUCUUCGGGUCGUGAACUCCUUUCGAUCGAGACGAAUUCCUCUGGGGUGAAUAAUCCCGGAGGUUGACGGUACCGAGAGAAGAAGCCCCGGCUACCUCCGUGCCAGCCGCCGCGGUAAUACGGGGGGGGCAAGCGUUGUUCGGAAUUACUGGGCGUAAAGGGCUCGUAGGUGGCCAACUAAGUCGGACGUGAAAUCCCUCGGCUUAACCGGGGAACUGCGUCCGAUACUGGUUGGCUUGGGUUUGGGAGAGGGAUGCGGAAUUCCAGGUGUAGCGGUGAAACGCGUAGAUAUCUGGAGGAACACCGGUGGCGAAGGCGGCAUCCUGGACCGACACUGACGCUGAGUGAGCGAAAGCCAGGGGAGCAAA